Molecule: ribosomal RNA, 410 nt
Filed under: uncultured eukaryote
Lineage: Eukaryota
Description: SSU rRNA
Rfam family: Eukaryotic small subunit ribosomal RNA
Source: RNAcentral
GCCAGUAGUCAUAUGCUUGUCUUAAAGAUUAAGCCAUGCAUGUCUAAGUAUAAAUAGUAUACAGUGAAACUGCGAAUGGCUCAUUAAAACAGUUAUAGUUUAUUUGAUAAUUGAAUUCUACAUGGAUAACCGUAGUAAUUCUAGAGCUAAUACAUGCUGUAAAACCUGACUUUUCGGAAAGGUUGUAUUUAUUAGAUAUCAAACCAAUAAUCUUUCGGGAUUAUUGUGAUGAUUCAUAAUAACUGAUCGGAUCAAGGUGUACCUUGAUAGAUCAUUCAAGUUUCUGCCCUAUCAGCUUUCGAUGGUAGUGUAUUGGACUACCAUGGCAGUCACGGGUAACGGAGAAUUAGGGUUCGAUUCCGGAGAGGGAGCCUGAGAAACGGCUACCACAUCUACGGAAGGCAGCAGGC